GCUGGCACAAUGAUGAUUUCUUCUUGCCGUUUACCCAUCUGAAUUCAUAUUGAUGUGUAUUUAUUAAUUCUGAGGUGCCAGU
This is a small nucleolar RNA of Hemicordylus capensis (graceful crag lizard), 82 nucleotides long. RefSeq annotates it as small nucleolar RNA SNORD87. NCBI's taxonomy places the organism in Eukaryota, Metazoa, Chordata, Lepidosauria, Squamata, Cordylidae. The record is from RefSeq and is a predicted model, not a curated record. The transcript has a single exon.